CGUUCCCAUAAUGAUGAUGAAGAUCUGUGUCAUCCUCCUUCUGUUUGUUGCCUCUGGCAACGGACAGGCAACGACCACGGCUGCACCUACCACCACGACCACGGCUGCACCUACAACCACCACCACGGCUGCACCUACAACUACCACCACAGCUGCUCCCACAACAACCACCACAGCUGCGCCUACAACGACGACCACGGCUGCACCUACAACCACGACCACGGCUGCACCUACAACCACGACCACGGCUGCGCCUACAACAACAACCACAGCUGCACCUACAACCACGACCACGGCUGCGCCUGCAACGACAACCACAGCUGCACCUACAAC
This is a long non-coding RNA of Sebastes umbrosus (honeycomb rockfish), 333 nucleotides long. RefSeq lists it as uncharacterized. Lineage: Eukaryota; Metazoa; Chordata; Actinopteri; Perciformes; Sebastidae. The transcript has 2 exons. The record is from RefSeq and is a predicted model, not a curated record.